AUAUUAUAGUAUUAAUGAAUGGGUGUUUUUAUAAUGGCCCUGUUAUAUGUCCAAGGUCUGUUAUAAUGGUCGAGGAAGUCUGUAAUGGCCCGAGGCAACGCCGAGGGCCAUUACAGACAUCCGAGGCCAUUAUUACUGACCGAGGACAUAUAACAGAGCCAUUAUAAAAACACCCAUUUCUUAAUACAUUUAUUAACCAACUGAAUAAAAGUGUAUGUGUUAAUAUACCAAAUAUCCAAGAUAUUAAGUUGACAGAAGUUAUGUGUUGAAAAACAGGAGAAACAGUGAUCCCUAUAUAUGGUUCUUUAAUGUUAGUUGCUGGUUACUAAAUUAAAUAAAAUACAAAAAAGUAUUAUACUCUUUACAACUUAAUUUUGUUAACUUUAUUAAAAACCCUAACUGUGCUUUAUACAGACAAACCGGCAUUAAUACAGGGCCAUUACAGAAAAACGGGGCCAUUACAGAAAAACAGGGCCAUUACAGAAAAAAACAGGGCCAUUACAGAAAAACAGGGCCAUUACAGAAAAACAGGGCCAUUACAGAAAAAAACAGGGCCAUUACAGAAAAACAGGGCCAUUACAGAAAAAACAGGGCCAUUACAGAAAAACAGGCCAUUUACAGAAAAAAACAGGGCCAUUACAGAAAAUAUGUUAUUUUUAAUAACCAGUCAUUUUUGGCAAUAAUGUACUUAGUUGGUUAAUAAACAGCUUUAAAA
Molecule: long non-coding RNA, 715 nt
Filed under: Mytilus galloprovincialis (Mediterranean mussel)
Lineage: Eukaryota; Metazoa; Mollusca; Bivalvia; Mytilida; Mytilidae
Source: RNAcentral